UGCCUGGCCAUGGAGCACUCUAGCGGAGGAGAGCAAAGUCCUCCCCAAAUCAAGGCCACAAUAACUAGCACGGUGUUCUGCACAUCGUAUGCACUCAGUACUUGUGAAAUUGAGCUGAAUCAGAAACAAAACGAGGAGCAGAGGUCAAGUCCUGCAAAAGAUAAACCCUGCCAUCUCCAUGACAACAAGCCCAGGUUAGCCUGCUAGAGGAUGAAACACUUUGGGGAAGAGAACCAAAGUUGCCCAGUCCACAGUCAACUCACUCUCAACAGCAGAGCUGCCUGGUCACCAGCAGCUGACCCCCUUCUCCCAUACACACACAUGAAGAUUGCUAUACCUUAUAAAGGUACGGCAGGUUUUAUAGGUAUAGCAAUUAAUUUAUGGCAGGAGCCUGCCAUAAAUUGCUGACUUGCUCAAUCAUGAGCUAAAUAAGUUUUGGGAUGGCUCAUUACACAGUAACAGCUAACUAACACACCCAGAGCUGACAGGAUGCCAGGAUUAACAACAUGCUGACUACAAGUUAGCUGGCACACUAUAGGGACUGUCUAGGUACUGAAUUCCUUUUCCCCUUAUUAGAAGUUGGGUCCCUUGAAUUAUAAAGAAAUGCAUGUAGACGUGUAUGUGCUUAAAACUCACACAGUAUCGCACAACACAGGAGGAAAUAGAUGACAGCCUGACCACUAGGGCAAAGGCCAAAUAGCAAGGUAAGGCAUUUGUCUGGAAUCUAUUCCCUCCAAAUCUAAAUUCUGGAGGUCAAGGCUGUGGACAGGUCCCACCUCCUGGGACCCCACUGUCCUCUGAUCUCUGGAGGGGAGAAUGGUCCCAUCAAGCAGCAGAUGGGCAGCAGUGGCCUACCUGUGGCCACCUCCUGCUGGCAGCCCCUGCUGUCUCAGGGCACUCUCUCUUCCUUUGGGACUGAGAAGAGAUGUGGGUAGGGAGGGGGAGCUCCCUCGCUCCUGGCAGA
RNAcentral lists this non-coding RNA (964 nucleotides) under Pongo abelii (Sumatran orangutan). Lineage: Eukaryota; Metazoa; Chordata; Mammalia; Primates; Hominidae. The record is from RNAcentral.